RNAcentral lists this small RNA (61 nucleotides) under Escherichia coli str. K-12 substr. MG1655. RNAcentral describes it as "small regulatory RNA IspZ". The record is from RNAcentral. Lineage: Bacteria; Pseudomonadati; Pseudomonadota; Gammaproteobacteria; Enterobacterales; Enterobacteriaceae.
AUCUGAUCGUAAGUAGUUGGCUUUAUAAGGUCAGAUAUGCCGUGGUUUUACACGGCUUUUU